RNAcentral lists this transfer RNA (94 nucleotides) under Streptomyces spiralis. Its description in RNAcentral is "tRNA-Gly". The record is from RNAcentral. Lineage: Bacteria; Bacillati; Actinomycetota; Actinomycetes; Kitasatosporales; Streptomycetaceae.
GCGUCGGCCGGCCAGCGGUGGUGCCCGCGCCCUCCCAUGGCGUGGGCAACGCGACCGGCCCGGUGCUGGUCGCGCUCGGCGCGCGGACGGCACC